UCCUGGGGAAAAUCAUUGGCCUGACACUUGCAUUUGUGAUACGAGUAUAAGCAAUAAACUAAGGGCAACCGAGGAAUGGGGAAACUGGUCAACCACCUGUGUAGACAAUCGGGCUGGUGGCGGGAGAAAAUCCUAGCCGGACACUCACGUAAGCAGGUAGAGGCAAUACAUUGGCCGAACACCUACAAAAUAACCUUACUGUAGAUACAGGCAAACAAUUGGCUGGACACCUGCGUAGUCAACACAGGUACAUGCGAUAUACUCUGGCUGGACACCUAUAGAGUAGUCUCUAUAUAGGUACAAGCAAUCCUAGUCAUGUGCACAAACUCUACCGAAGGCAACCGUUAUAUUCUUUUCCACCGGCAACAAUUAUACUUUUUCGAAGGCAACAAAUAACUUUCGAAGGCAACCGGGUGGGGUGUGUUUGAAAUCCACUGCUUUUGACAAUUAAACAUAAAAACUCUCUUUUUCUUUUCUGUUGUUAGAUAUGAUAUUUUAUAUGAAUAUGCUUAGGAUUAGGAAUUUUCUUUACUGUUUUUUGUAAUUAUUUUUUUUUCUUCCUAUUAUUAACUUUCAUUUAGUUAUUCUUGAAGCAUUUUUUUUCUUUCCUAUUGUUAGAUCUGAUAUUUUGUAUGAAUAUGCUUAGGAUUAUGAAUUUUCUUUCCUAUUUUUUGCACCUUUUUUUUUUCUAUUAUUAACUUUCAUUUAGUUAUUCUUGAAGCAUUUUUUUUCUUUCCUAUUGUUAGAUCUGAUAUUUUAUAUGAAUAUGCUUAGGAUUAUGAAUUUUCUUUCCUAUUUUUGCACCUUUUUUUUUCUUUCUAUUAUUAACUUUCAUUUAGUUAUUCUUGAAGCCUUUUUUUUUUCUUUCCUAUUGUUAGAUCUGAUAUUUUAUAUGAAUAUACUUAGGAUUAUGAAUUUUCUUUCCUAUGUUUUGUACUUAUAUUUUUUUUAAAUUUAUAUAUCAAGGUAUGAUAUCUUUAUUAAAAUCUUUCUUUAUUAUUAGAUUUCAUAAAAUAUGUUUUUAUAUUUUAAUUUAUAUAUUCGUUUUACUAAUUAAUUAAUUCUUGCCUUCAAGUGUCAAAUAUUUCUUCAAGCGAGGCAAUCCAGCUACUCUUUUCAAAAUGAUGGUUUUAGAAUAUUUAAAAGCCAUACCUAAAUAUUUCCCUGAACAUCCAGCUCAAGCAUAUAUAUGCAUACCAUGCCCAAGUUUUUGUAGCACAUUUCCUUGUAUGUAUAUAGGGGUCGUUUAGCAUGGCGAACUGUCAUGGAUUGGUAAAAGUAUGGAAUAAAACCUUCGCACGUGUGAUAAAUCAUCGUCUUAAAACUUUUCCUUGUAUGUAUAUAGAGGUCAUUUAGAGAUGGCUUAAAACAUGUUGGAAAGAUUUUAAUACUAAU
RNAcentral lists this long non-coding RNA (1395 nucleotides) under Prunus persica (peach). RNAcentral's name for it is "long non-coding RNA (PPER_LNC005926)". Lineage: Eukaryota; Viridiplantae; Streptophyta; Magnoliopsida; Rosales; Rosaceae. The record is from RNAcentral.